Eriocheir sinensis (Chinese mitten crab) is the source of this 894-nucleotide long non-coding RNA. RefSeq lists it as uncharacterized. The record is from RefSeq and is a predicted model, not a curated record. Lineage: Eukaryota; Metazoa; Arthropoda; Malacostraca; Decapoda; Varunidae. The transcript is spliced from 2 exons.
AGAGACAGAUAGAUAGAUAGGUAGACAGAUAUAUAGAAAGAAAGAUAGAUAGAUAAAUAGGUAGGUAGAUAGAUUGAUUAGUAGAGACAGAGAGGAAAUAAUUCUAAAAAAAAUAAUGAGGAGGUAAAUCUGCUUGUAAAAAAGGAAUGAGAGAGAGAGAGAGAGAGAGAGAGAGAGAGAGAGAGAGAGAGAGAGAGAGAGAGAGAGAGAGAGAGAGAGAGAGAGAGAGAGAGAGAGAGAGAGAGAGAGAGAGAGAGAGAGAGAGAGGAAAUGUGUUUGCUCUCAGAGUCUUUCUUCUUGAUAUUCUUUUCUUUUUUUUAGCCAUAUCCGGUGUAGGGGGGGUCUGGUUUCCUGUGCUGUUGUUGUUGUUCUUGUUAAUUUGCAUCACAUUCCUCAGUUUUUUUCACUAACUAAUAUUUUUUAAUGUAUUUUUCCUUCCUCCUUUUUUUUUCCUCCAUCCAUCCAUUCAUUCAUUCAUUCAUUCAUUCCAUUUCCUUCCAUUUCCUUUAUCAUUUUCUUGCUUUUCUCUGGCUUAUCCGUUUCUGUUCUUGCACAAUUUUCCUCCCGUCAAGCAAUCUUAUCACUUAGUUCUUGGCACAUAUUCUGAUAGGUGUGUGUGUGUGUGUGUGUGUGUGUGUGUGUGUGUGUUGACAAGAGUGAACUAAUGAGUGUUGCAAGCCUGUUAAGAUGUGUACGAAGAAAUUUAGUGUUGCAACGAAAACCAAUUAAUGUGUUUGCGUUAAUGAGAGCAAAUGAAUAAGUGUUGCAAGCAGGUUAAUUAAGAUGUGUGUUAAGGUAAUUAGUGUUGCAUGGAGAACCAAUUAGUGUGUUGAUGAAAGUAAGUUAAGAAGUGUUGUGUGGUGUGUUGCAAAGACGAUCAAUUAGAGAGUUUGU